Non-coding RNA from Acanthosepion pharaonis, 99 nucleotides. The record is from the annotation of a GenBank genome assembly. Lineage: Eukaryota; Metazoa; Mollusca; Cephalopoda; Sepiida; Sepiidae.
CUGUGAAUCACCGGUACCCUUACGAACACUGAAUUUCAGGACCGUCGAGUCUAGUCAGUACUUGGAUGGGUGACUACUAGGGAAUAUCAAGUGCCGUAA